GAUGAACGCUAGCUACAGGCUUAACACAUGCAAGUCGAGGGGAAACGAUAUUGGAAGCUUGCUUCCGAUAGGCGUCGACCGGCGCACGGGUGAGUAACGCGUAUCCAACCUGCCCAUCACUUGGGGAUAACCCUGCGAAAGUAAGACUAAUACCCAAUGAUAUUUAUAGAAGGCAUCCGAAAUGAAUUAAAGAUUUAUCGGUGAUGGAUGGGGAUGCGUCUGAUUAGCUUGUUGGCGGGGUAACGGCCCACCAAGGCGACGAUCAGUAGGGGUUCUGAGAGGAAGGUCCCCCACAUUGGAACUGAGACACGGUCCAAACUCCUACGGGAGGCAGCAGUGAGGAAUAUUGGUCAAUGGGCGAGAGCCUGAACCAGCCAAGUAGCGUGCAGGAUGACGGCUCUAUGGGUUGUAAACUGCUUUUAUAGGGGGAUAAAGUGAGCUACGUGUAGUUUUUUGCAUGUACCCUAUGAAUAAGGACCGGCUAAUUCCGUGCCAGCAGCCGCAGUAA
This 508-nucleotide ribosomal RNA is filed under the name uncultured bacterium. RNAcentral's name for it is "partial 16S ribosomal RNA". It matches the Rfam family "Bacterial small subunit ribosomal RNA", at positions 28 to 523 of the family's 1533-position model. The record is from RNAcentral.